CACAUCGACGGCGGUGUUUGGCACCUCGAUGUCGGCUCAUCACAUCCUGGGGGCGGAGCAGUUCCCAAGGGUAUGGCUGUUCGCCAUUUAAAGUGGUACGCGAGCUGGGUUUAGAACGUCGUGAGACAGUUCGGUCCCUAUCUGCCGUGGGCGCAGGAUAUUUGAGGAGAUCUGUCCUUAGUACGAGAGGACCGGGAUGGACGAACCUCUAGUGUACCAGUUGUCUCGCCAGAGGCAUCGCUGGGUAGCUAUGUUCGGCAGGGAUAAGCGCUGAAAGCAUCUAAGCGCGAAGCCCACUCCAAGAUAAGAUAUCCCGUGGGUUAACCCACCUGAAGGCUCCUUGUAGACUACGAGGUCGAUAGGUCGCAGGUGUAAGCGCAGCAAUGCGUUCAGCCGAGCGAUACUAAUCAGCCGUGCGGCUUGAUCAA
RNAcentral lists this ribosomal RNA (428 nucleotides) under Gemmatimonadota bacterium. Its description in RNAcentral is "Gemmatimonadetes bacterium partial 23S ribosomal RNA". It matches the Rfam family "Bacterial large subunit ribosomal RNA", at positions 2501 to 2925 of the family's 2925-position model. The record is from RNAcentral. Lineage: Bacteria; Pseudomonadati; Gemmatimonadota.